UACGGAGGGGGCAAGCGUUAUUCGGAAUUAUUGGGCGUAAAGGGCGUGUAGGCGGUUCUGUAAGUCUCAUUGUGAAAGCCCUCGGCUUAACCGAGGAACUGCAUGGGAAACUGCAGAACUUGAGUCCGGGAGAGGAGAGUGGAAUUCCCAGUGUAGCGGUGAAAUGCGUAGAUAUUGGGAGGAACACCGGUGGCGAAGGCGGCUCUCUGGACCGGUACUGACGCUGAGACGCGAAAGCUAGGGGAGCAAACGGG
Molecule: ribosomal RNA, 254 nt
Filed under: uncultured bacterium
Lineage: Bacteria
Description: partial 16S ribosomal RNA
Rfam family: Bacterial small subunit ribosomal RNA
Source: RNAcentral